Peromyscus maniculatus bairdii (prairie deer mouse) is the source of this 2379-nucleotide non-coding RNA. NCBI's taxonomy places the organism in Eukaryota, Metazoa, Chordata, Mammalia, Rodentia, Cricetidae. The record is from RefSeq and is a predicted model, not a curated record.
GCUGCAUUCUCUCCACAUUGAAACAUUUGCUCCAGGAAGGAAGAGGUGGCCUCAGGAGGUAAACAGAAGAUCAUAUGUAGGGGAGAAAGGGAAGUGGGAAAGAUCUUGAGGGCUCCUCCGCAGCAGUAAAAAACGAAAGUAAAGGAGGUGCAGAGAGAGACGUCUGAACUCCGGGUGAUCUGACUUCAGACUGCCGUCAGGGCUCUAGGGACACGGUUUUCCGGGAUUGUCACCCAUGUGGUGAGCUCUCUGGCCAUGCAGCUGCGUCGGGUCAUCCUUGCUCCUUCCAAAUACUUCAGGCAGCCAGCUUCGGAAGCCAGCCGGUGUUUCCUGUCCACUCCCAGCAGCCGCCUGUGUGUCAGCUGGUGACUAGUCAUAGCCUCGUGCCACCUAGACCUGCUCAUCGGCACCCGAGUGCAUCUCCAGGCACCCCUGGAGCAAAUGGAUGGGUGUUCCUGCCGGCUCCCUUGGGCUAUCGGGAGCUGGGAAGCUUGAUUCUUAGUGUCUUCCUACACAAGGGCCCGCAGUGCCCCACUCCCAAGCCCCUUGGCAUCCACUUCAGCAUGCAGCGGAUCUCGAAAUCCCGCUGGUAUGUGGUCAUCUUUGGAAUACUCUGUGCCUGUGUAGGGAGAAGUCAGAAGCACUCGGAAGGUAAUUCCCAUAAAAGCAUCUUGAGCCUUUGCUGGAUGGAGGACUGGCCAAUGAAUACUCACCUGUCUGAGUCCCUGGUCCUUCGCUCUGCUAAUUUUCAGACAUGGUUCUCAGAAUUCUCUUAGUGGGAUUGAACUGAUUUAUUUCUUUAUUGAUUUAUUGAUUAUUUUGCUUUGAGUCAGGGUCUCAUGUAUCCCAGGCUAGCCUCAGACUCAUCUGUAUCUCUGAACGAUUGUGAACUGCUGGAGGUUUUCCUGCCUCCACCUCCUGAGCCCUGGGAUUACACACAACCACCCUCCGUUUAUGAAGGGCUGGCGAUGGACCCAGGGCCUCAAGCAUGCCAGGCAGGCCCUCACUGAACUCCAUCCCAGCCCCUCCCUGUCCGCUCGAGUGCCCUGCUUGUGGGCCUUCGCUGCAUCUUUCUCUUCACACUCCUGUUCACUGGAAGGCUUCCUCCGACUCUCUCAAAUACACGCUUGCACUUUGACUUUAUCUCAGCCUUCCGUUUCUGGGAGACUCGACGUCUAGCACGCAGCAGCCAUAGCAGGCACUCAGCUAGUCCUCCGCAGAUCCUCUUACUGUUGUGGGAUUUCUGCCUCACAGGGAGAUGACUCUUUGACUGUGAAGGCUUCUGUUAGGAGCUGUUAUCUUCCCACAGAGGAUGAUGAAGGGCCUUCCAGCUAGAAGUCCUGAGAAAGGAUCUACGAGAUGAAAAUGUGAAGGGGGGGGGGAUUCUCCCUCCUGUGCCAAUGUGUUUUCAGAAGUGGAGGGGACUCAGGUUGGUUAUGAAAUCAUUCACUCUGGUGAGCCAGCAUGUUUCCUUUUAUGGAUGCUACAGCCCAGACUGCUGUGCCGGGAGUGAUUUUCCAUCAUGUUCUCUAUAGAGUUCACAGCAAAGCCAAAAAUAAUAUAAGAUAUUCAAACCAACCCUAGACUGGAGUGUCGUUUUAUAAACACUUGUGAUCAAAACCAUCCAUGAAAUAAAACUGUAAUCGCCCCAUGACCAGCAUUGUCACCCCCCCUUUUAUACGGGUUGGCACCAGGCUAGUGUCUUUGUGUCACACAUGAGGAAAUGAGUCACAUAAAGGACGUGCUGAAGACUCUGAGGCUGCUGUCGGAGGAGAGCUGGAAGACAGUGUUCACCACCCUCCACGUGGGCUGAGCCCGACACAGGAUUCCUAACACAGCUUCAGACUCUCGGGUCUUUCUGAUAAACUUUUAUAAGAGAGUAAAACUGUGGUUAAUGAAAAGGGUCAUUGGUGCUGGGGAAUUUGAUGAAGUUUUAUGUGGUUCAAAUGAAACUGUGAAAAUCAGAUUUUUUAAAAAUAGUUACUGGGCAUUUAAUAGGGAUGAUCAGAACCAGGUUAACUUUUUGCAUAAUUUUUGCAUAGCUAUGAAUAUAGUUCAAUAAGAGGUGUUGGCCUCCUGGACCUGUCCCCUGGGAGGUCUCCGGACUACAGCACGAAACAGCCUGCUGGGCUACACAGCCUGCUGGGGCGGAGGGGAAUGUUUGGAGAGGAUCAAGGUUCAGGCAGCCUGGUGAGAGGUGAUUGCAGACUGAGACGUGGCAGCAGGAAGUAGGGGAUAGUGGUGACCCAAGCAGAUAGGCAAUAAUGACUGGCACCCUAGGACCAGUUAAAGGGACAGUCAACUGUUGGACUAUAGACGUGAGUUCAGAAGUCCAGAAACGCUUGCUCAACACGAAGUGCUAGAACCAAGUUUAAAGAA